Non-coding RNA from Tricholoma furcatifolium, 94 nucleotides. NCBI's taxonomy places the organism in Eukaryota, Fungi, Basidiomycota, Agaricomycetes, Agaricales, Tricholomataceae. The record is from the annotation of a GenBank genome assembly.
GGGGGCAUAGCUCAGUUGGGAGAGCAGCAGACUGAAGUGUAUUGUUACGGACUCACCGUUCUGAAGGUCCCGCGUUCAAUCCGCGGUGCCCCCA